UGUUAAUAUUAUUAAAAUGCGUUUUUAUUUUUCUUUCUAUAUUCAUAAAAAUUUGCGUACUAAUAAACUGAUAAUCCGUAAAAAUGUAAUGAACAAUAAAAUGAUAAUUAAUUUAAAAUGAAAACAAUCAAGUUUUGCUAAAUUUCUCUAAUUUUUUCUUUAUAUGAGCAAAAUAUUUGAAUAUUGUCAAUUAAUAAGCUCUCUAACAUUCUAAAACUAUUCGAGGGUAACUGGUUGUAAAGAAUUAAUUCCUCGAGUUGUCUAAUACCGUUUAUUUGUACUAGUAAUAAUGAAACAAAAAACUACAAUAUCUAUAACACACAUGUUUUCAGGGCUUCUACCAGUUGUUUUUCAAUUACAAAACUGCUGCCAAUAUUUUAUUGGUUAUGAAAUCAAGCCCAGGAGCAUUCUUCUUAAGACUAACAUGAUAAAAAGC
Long non-coding RNA from Daktulosphaira vitifoliae (grape phylloxera), 436 nucleotides. RefSeq lists it as uncharacterized. The record is from RefSeq and is a predicted model, not a curated record. Lineage: Eukaryota; Metazoa; Arthropoda; Insecta; Hemiptera; Phylloxeridae. The transcript has 3 exons.